This is a long non-coding RNA of Xenia sp. Carnegie-2017, 999 nucleotides long. RefSeq lists it as uncharacterized. The transcript is spliced from 2 exons. NCBI's taxonomy places the organism in Eukaryota, Metazoa, Cnidaria, Anthozoa, Malacalcyonacea, Xeniidae. The record is from RefSeq and is a predicted model, not a curated record.
GAGGGUUCUUUGUUUUUUAGCAGUUAUGUUUCCAUAGAAGUGACUGUGGUCAUUUGACAAAAAUAGUGCAUGCUGUAAUUGUGAUAGUUAUUUUACCAUGAAAAGAUAUAAAGUGUGGGACAAAUGCAUGAAGUGGAAUUACAAGCACAAUAGCACAAAGCAGAGUGGUGAACUCAAUUUCAAUUAUUAUCUGCAUUGUUAAACGGAUUUAUUUUUAGUUUUACAUUAAAUAUUUUGUUUUUCUCCCAUGAAAUUAUUUCUCAUAACAUGUAGAAGUUUCAUUUAAUUCAGAAAUUAGACUAUAGUCAUUAAACAUUUUUCUGUAGAUCUGAAAAGCUGUUGAAAAAGAGUUACUUUUUUCAGAAGAAAAUUUCUUAAAGAUAACAAAGAUAACAAAAUUCAAGAUGUGGAAGAUAAAUUUAAAAGUUUUAGCAAUGACAGCUCCGAUGAUGAUAGUUUCAUUGAUGUUAAGUACACCAAGGAUUUUUUAAAUGACCUCAUAAAUAGACAUUUUGUCUUGGUUCUCACCAUGAUUCUGUAUUUGACAAGAUGUUUCAUGAUGGCUAAUAUGAGCUUCAAGACAAUGUGCGUACAAAAUAUAUUGAUACCUGGGGACUACAUGGAACUACAGUUGUGUGUUAGGAUAAAUCAAAUGAUAUCCUUAAUCAAAAUUCAAAACCAGAUCUUGUGUGGCAACAAUUUCAACCUGCAGCACCUUCAAAUUAAAAAUACAUUGAGCAAAUGCAUCUAUUCCACCUAAAAACUGCUGAAGAAAAAGUGAGAUUGAGUAAAUUUAGACUGACAAAGUCACUUAACAGGUCUGUUUAUCAUACAAAUCUCGAUGUAUAUUAUUAAGUACUAGUCUAUCUAGCUUGAAAACAAUUAUUCAUAUUCAUGAGAAAAAUAUAUAUCUACACAUAUUUAGAAAUUUUUAUUUGCGAUUAUAAAAUAAGGACCCUCUUUUGAUGGUAGCCUUAUAAAAUAUGUGUUUAGAUUGAA